Molecule: ribosomal RNA, 510 nt
Filed under: uncultured bacterium
Lineage: Bacteria
Description: partial 16S ribosomal RNA
Rfam family: Bacterial small subunit ribosomal RNA
Source: RNAcentral
GACGAACGCUGGCGGCGUGCUUAACACAUGCAAGUCGAACGAAGAGCGAUGGAAGCUUGCUUCUAUCAAUCUUAGUGGCGAACGGGUGAGUAACGCGUAAUCAACCUGCCCUUCAGAGGGGGACAACAGUUGGAAACGACUGCUAAUACCGCAUACGAUCUAAUCUCGGCAUCGAGGAUAGAUGAAAGGUGGCCUCUACAUGUAAGCUAUCACUGAAGGAGGGGAUUGCGUCUGAUUAGCUAGUUGGAGGGGUAACGGCCCACCAAGGCGAUGAUCAGUAGCCGGGCUGAGAGGAUGAACGGCCACAUUGGGACUGAGACACGGCCCAGACUCCUACGGGAGGCAGCAGUGGGGAAUCUUCCGCAAUGGACGAAAGUCUGACGGAGCAACGCCGCGUGAGUGAUGACGGCCUUCGGGUUGUAAAGCUCUGUUAAUCGGGACGAAAGGCCUUCUUGCGAAUAGUGAGAAGGAUUGACGGUACCGGAAGAGAAAGCCACGGCUAACUACGUG